RNAcentral lists this transfer RNA (77 nucleotides) under Hyphomicrobiales bacterium. Its description in RNAcentral is "tRNA-Arg". It matches the Rfam family "tRNA". From Rfam's summary of the family: Transfer RNA (tRNA) molecules are approximately 80 nucleotides in length. Their secondary structure includes four short double-helical elements and three loops (D, anti-codon, and T loops). The record is from RNAcentral. Lineage: Bacteria; Pseudomonadati; Pseudomonadota; Alphaproteobacteria; Hyphomicrobiales. RNAcentral also lists the same sequence under 5 other names.
GCGCCCGUAGCUCAGCUGGAUAGAGCACCAGACUACGAAUCUGGGGGUCAGCGGUUCGAAUCCGUUCGGGCGCGCCA